GAGUUGGUCAUUUGCUUCUUCUCAAUCUGGUCCAUCCUGGGCCUCUCAGGGUUCCACACUUACCUCGUGGCCUCCAACCUGACAACUAAUGAAGACAUCAAAGGGUCUUGGUCCAGCAAGAGGGGUGGUGAGGCCUCUGUCAACCCCUACAGCCAUAAAAGUAUUAUCACCAACUGCUGUGCUGUGCUCUGUGGCCCACUGCCUCCCAGGUUCCCUCUGUCCACCAUCCUCUGCCGAAUGACUCGGGAAUUCUGAGGAAGGCUGUCACGUAAUCACCUGUACUCAUUUGUAGAAUAAAAGUAAAGCCUCUAACCCCAGCACUUAAAGGCCGAAGCAGGAGGAUUGCUUCAUGUUCAAGACCACCCUAGGACACAGAAACUGUUUCAAAGGGUGGGGGGAGUACAAAAUAUUAAAAAACACUGGGCAUCCUGUUUAAUCCCACUCCUCAGAGGUGCCACAGUGACUGUCAGGACC
RNAcentral lists this long non-coding RNA (474 nucleotides) under Rattus norvegicus (Norway rat). RNAcentral's name for it is "long non-coding RNA NONRATT023688". Lineage: Eukaryota; Metazoa; Chordata; Mammalia; Rodentia; Muridae. The record is from RNAcentral.